This 253-nucleotide ribosomal RNA is filed under the name uncultured bacterium. Its description in RNAcentral is "partial 16S ribosomal RNA". It matches the Rfam family "Bacterial small subunit ribosomal RNA", at positions 524 to 776 of the family's 1533-position model. The record is from RNAcentral.
UACGAAGGGGGCUAGCGUUGUUCGGAAUUACUGGGCGUAAAGCGCGCGCAGGCGGCUAUCCAAGUCAGUGGUGAAAGCCCGGAGCUCAACUCCGGAACUGCCAUUGAAACUGUUUAGCUUGAGGACGAGAGAGGUGAGUGGAAUUCCCAGUGUAGAGGUGAAAUUCGUAGAUAUUGGGAAGAACACCGGUGGCGAAGGUGGCUCACUGGCUCGUAUCUGACGCUCAGGCGCGACAGCGUGGGGAUCAAACAGG